Molecule: ribosomal RNA, 358 nt
Filed under: Ornebius sp. 8 BHW-2013
Lineage: Eukaryota; Metazoa; Arthropoda; Insecta; Orthoptera; Mogoplistidae
Description: partial 12S ribosomal RNA
Source: RNAcentral
AAUAAUUGUAAAUGAGGAUGUUUAGGUAGUAAGAGAUAAGAUCUUGAAACUUAAAGAAUUUGGCGGUGUUUUACCCUAUUCAGAGGAAUCUGUUUUGUAAUUGAUAUUACACGAUUGAAUAAACUUAAAUUUAUAACUUGUAUAUCGCCGUCAUCAGAUUGUCUUGAAUGGAGGGAAUCAAAUUAUUAGAAUAUUUAAUAGAAUAGAAUGUCAGGUCAAGGUGCAGUUAUAUUUAAGAAUAAAAUGGAUUACAAUAAAUUAGAAUUUAUUUGGAUUAUGAAUAUGAUUAUUUGUAAGGAAAUUGGAUUUGAAAGUAAAUUGAUUGAAAUUGUUUGAUUGAAGAAGCUCUAAAGCAUGU